RNAcentral lists this ribosomal RNA (465 nucleotides) under Vreelandella stevensii. Its description in RNAcentral is "partial 16S ribosomal RNA". It matches the Rfam family "Bacterial small subunit ribosomal RNA", at positions 338 to 795 of the family's 1533-position model. Lineage: Bacteria; Pseudomonadati; Pseudomonadota; Gammaproteobacteria; Oceanospirillales; Halomonadaceae. The record is from RNAcentral.
CCUACGGGUGGCAGCAGUGGGGAAUAUUGGACAAUGGGGGGAACCCUGAUCCAGCCAUGCCGCGUGUGUGAAGAAGGCCCUCGGGUUGUAAAGCACUUUCAGUGAGGAAGAACGCCUGGUGGUUAAUACCCAUCAGGAAAGACAUCACUCACAGAAGAAGCACCGGCUAACUACGUGCCAGCAGCCGCGGUAAUACGGAGGGUGCGAGCGUUAAUCGGAAUUACUGGGCGUAAAGCGCGCGUAGGUGGCUUGAUAAGCCGGUUGUGAAAGCCCCGGGCUCAACCUGGGAACGGCAUCCGGAACUGUCAAGCUAGAGUGCAGGAGAGGAAGGUAGAAUUCCCGGUGUAGCGGUGAAAUGCGUAGAGAUCGGGAGGAAUACCAGUGGCGAAGGCGGCCUUCUGGACUGACACUGACACUGAGGUGCGAAAGCGUGGGUAGCAAACAGGAUUAGAUACCCGAGUAGUC